AGAGUCCUGAGAUGUGCGUUGUAUUACCUGAAGUUUUGACCGAACACUUUUUUAUUCGGGAGUCUGGAGUUUUCUGACGGCGUAAAAGCCUCACUUCUCGGCGAGCAAGAGGACUUACAAACUCAGAAACAGGACACCCACCUGCUGCGUGCGGGAUCAAAACAAAGGAUCAAAAGCGACGGCAUUAUUGGGACUCUU
This is a non-coding RNA of Bacillus sp. X1(2014), 198 nucleotides long. The record is from Rfam. Lineage: Bacteria; Bacillati; Bacillota; Bacilli; Caryophanales; Bacillaceae.